GAGAAUAGGUAGGGAGAGAAAGAGAGAGAAUAGGUAGGGAGAGAGAGAAUAGGUAGGGAGAGAGAGAAUAGGUAGGGAGAGAAAGAGAGAGAAUAGGUAGGGAGAGAGAGAAUAGGUAGGGAGAGAGAGAAUAGGUAGGGAGAGAGAGAAUAGGUAGGGAGAGAGAGAAUAGGUAGGGAGAGAGAGAAUAGGUAGGGAGAGAGAGAAUAGGUAGGGAGAGAGAGAAUAGGUAGGGAGAGAAAGAGAGAGAAUAGGUAGGGAGAGAAAGA
Long non-coding RNA from Oncorhynchus keta (chum salmon), 269 nucleotides. RefSeq lists it as uncharacterized. The transcript has 3 exons. NCBI's taxonomy places the organism in Eukaryota, Metazoa, Chordata, Actinopteri, Salmoniformes, Salmonidae. The record is from RefSeq and is a predicted model, not a curated record.